CACAUAGCUCAGUAUGAAAGAAGUAUGAACAAACAAUUCUCAGAAGCUAUAUGGUGUUUCCUGCCUGUGUGUGUGUGUGUGUGUGUGUGUCUGUUUUUUUGUGAUGGCUUCUCUAUAUAAGUGUAAUUUCUCAGAAGCACUGAGGAGAGGCUGUGACUGCCUUGUAGACAGAUACAGCAUCUUAAAGACGCCAGAAGUUCAUGCAAAGGUAUGUUCUAUUCCAUAUGUGUCUCUGGGACAGGGUUUACAUUGCUUCCCAGAGUGCAAACCUGUAAAAAAGAGCACACUAACUCCAAGUGAAGAAGAGGAAAGUUUGUUUAGUAUCCUUUUACACCAGAGGUGGAGAACCCUCCUCCUGAGAACUACUGUUUUGUAUCCUUUUACACCAGAGGUGGACAACCCUCCUCCUGGAGAACUACUGUUUUGUAUCCUUUUACACCAGAGGUGGACAACCCUCCUGGAGAACUAAUGUUUUGUAUCCUUUUACACCAGAGGUGGAGAACCCUCCUCCUGGAGAACUACUGUUUAGUAUCCUUUUACACCAGAGGUGGUCAACCCUCCUCCUGGUGAACUAAUGUUUUGUAUCCUUUUACACCAGAAGUGGUCAACCCUCCUCCUGGAGAACUACUGUUUUGUAUCCUUUUACACCAGAGGUGUACAACCCUCCUCUUGGAGAACUACUGUUUUGUAUCCUUUUACACCAGAGCUGGGCAGUCCUCUUAGAGAACUACUGGUUUGUAUCCUUUUACACCAGAGCUGGACAACCCUCCUCUUGGAGAACUACUGUUUUUUAGCCUUUUAUACCAGAGGUGGAGAACCCUCCUCCUGGAGAACUACUGUUUUGAAGCCUUUUAUACCAGAGGCGGAGAACCCUCCUCCUGGAGAACUACUGUUUUGAAGCCUUUUACAUCAGAGGUGGAGAACCCUCCUCUUGGAGAGCUACUGUGUAUGCAGGCUUUUGUUCCAGCCCUGCUCCAACACACACUCUACAUUUACAUUUUAACCUAGAACCGAGCUCUGGGAGACAGCAGUAGUGAGAGUACGUGGUGCUGACACAGAUCCUCUCCAUUCCACCUGGUUGGAGCAGUGCAAGAUUGUGCAGAGACUUAGACACCCAGCCCUGAGAGGGUGGAGAGGAGGAUCUGAUGGUCCACAGUGUCAAAUGCAAUAGAUAGAUCUAGGAGGAUGAGAACAGAGGAGUGAAAGAGUCAGCUUUGGCAGAGCGGAGAGCCUCCGUGACACAGAGAAGAGCAGUCUCGGUUGAGUGAACCAUCUUACUUCCAUUUUGAAGUCAGAAGGGGCGCAGCCAGUGGUCAGGGAUGAGUUGAUGAGGGAAGUGAGGAAUGGGAGAAGGUCUCCUGAUAUGGGCUGGAGCGGGUAGGAGGGGAUGGGGUCAGGUGGGCAGGUUGUCGGGUGGCCAGACCACACCAGUCGCAUGAUUUCAUCUGGAGAGUAAGGGGAGAAAGAGGUCAAGGCAUAGGGUAGAUCUGUGUGAGUAGGGCGAGUGGACUCAAUGGGCUGAGUGUAUGAGGAGAGGAUGUAGUUAACCUUUUCAAAGUGGUUGACAAAGUCCUCCUCAGAGAGGAAGGAGGGAGGAGGGGGUGGAGGAAGAAGAUGGAAAAUAGAUUCCUAUGGUGAGAGGCAGAAACUUAACAUUUAGAGUGAAAAAAGUGGCUUUAGCAUCAGAUACAGAGGAAGAGAAGGUAGAGCGGAGGGUGUGAAAGGAUGAUAGGUCCUCCAGAAGUGACGUUUUCCUUCAUUUUUGCUCAGCUGCCCGCAGCCCUGCUCUGUAAGCUCUCAAGGAGUCACUCAGCCACGGAGCAGGAGGGGAGGAAAAUGGACAGUGUACAUCAUAGGAUGCGGAAUGGGAGGAGUGUAGGGUUUAAGAGGCAGAAUCAGGAAACAUGCGGUAGAAGUAUUUUGCAGAAGGGAGAUAUGAUAGGAUAGAAGAGGAGAGGAGAGAGAGAGUGAAGAUUGUGAGCAGUGUAUGACCAUUUGGUUGGGGUUAAGGAUGGAGGAAAGGGAGACAGAAAAGGAAAGAAAGUGGUGAUCAGAGACCUGGAGGGGGUUGCAGUGAGAUUAGUAGGCAAACAGCCUCUAGUAAAGAUGAGGUCAAGCGUAUUGCCUGUCUUGAGAGUGGGACUGGGGAAGGGUGAGGUCAAGUGUAUUGUCUGCCUUGUGAGUGGUCAAAAGAGGGGAAAGAAAGAGUUCAUAGAAAUGAAUGGAAGGCAGACAUCGGGAGGUUGAAGUCACCAAGUACGAAGAGCGUUGGUUUGAAUGAAGAUGGCAAAGAAUGCAGUGUGGACAGUCUUCCUGUUGACCUUUGGUGUUACCACAGGGAUGAAAAAGUUAUAUUCAUUCAAGCGAUACCUCUCCGUCCAUUCUAGCAGCAGGCUACACCGAGAAUGGAACAGCUGGAUAGGGGAAACAGCUCGAGCCGCACCAAAUGGAAUAUAACAUUGCGGAAUGACACAGUUUCAUGUGUACGACAUCUAAAGACCUGCAUCACUAUACUGAGAGCGUUUCAGUUUCUAAAAUGAUGUAUUUGGGUGUUUUUGGAGCGUUGAUCAUGUUUUUUUUUGCUACCUUAUUGCACAACGAGGAUGUGAAUCACUGGUUGGGGUAAGUUUCUCAACAACAACAAAAAUGUCUGGAUACUUCUAUAACAUGCCAUCAAAAUUAGAGAUUUGGUUGUAAAAAAAGCUAACUUCUCCUUUAAACUGGAGCAUAUCCAGGCUAUCUGUGCUUACAGUUCAAGUCAGCCCGAAAUAUACAAAGAUUUUAACAAAGCAGUCCGGACCAAUAGGAAAGUCUACACGUCCUCCGUCAAGUUCCACUCCCUGCAUUUCCUGCUGACUGAAGCUAUUCUCCUCCUGAAACAAAAUCCAGACCAACAGGAUUGUUACACCACACACAGAAGAACCAACAAGGAGUUUGCAGGUGAAGUGAACAAGGAAAUCCGUUUUGGCUUAUUUUCCUCCAGCUCUUUGAGAUAAAGACACGUUUUGGCUCAAGUCCUACCCAGUGAUGGAAGAAAAGGAGAAGGUGUGGAUUCCGCCCUGUGAGGUUUUUAAAGUUACUGACGUACUGUGUAC
RNAcentral lists this long non-coding RNA (3095 nucleotides) under Salmo salar (Atlantic salmon). Its description in RNAcentral is "lncRNA (ENSSSAG00000115517.1)". The record is from RNAcentral. Lineage: Eukaryota; Metazoa; Chordata; Actinopteri; Salmoniformes; Salmonidae.